Long non-coding RNA from Capsicum annuum, 2163 nucleotides. RefSeq lists it as uncharacterized. NCBI's taxonomy places the organism in Eukaryota, Viridiplantae, Streptophyta, Magnoliopsida, Solanales, Solanaceae. The record is from RefSeq and is a predicted model, not a curated record. The transcript has 3 exons.
UUCCCUUUUCCCUUUAGCAUACAACCACAACAGUUUCGAACAAACAAUAGCAACAUACAACUUUCAAACAAAAACAACAACGACAAUACAACUCUAACAGUACCAAUUCCAACCUGGUCCCAGCGAAAAACCCAAAUUCGGCCAACAUCAACGACCCAAUAAAGCAGCAACAAUCUCAAUACGUAACCCAAAUCGAACAACAUCCAACAACCGAAAAUUCCCUUAAACAUUCAACCUUAUUCGAUUUUCAACUCGAAAUUCAAAAACUGUACUAAGCAGUACUAAACACAGCUCAUUCUCAUUCCCAUUUGAAGUUUCUCCCAAAAUCCCUAAAAUGCCCUUAAUAUUUUCCUCCCACAUCGGUGGAGCAAAAUUUACUGGCCAUUGUUGUUAUCUAUAAAUAGCUCAUUCUUGAGCUGAAACAAUAAGUCUUGAGGGUUGAAAAACUUUUGCACAAAAAGUUUGUUUUUCUAGUAAAUUAUUUAUCGUAAAAAUCGACGAGUUCUCGGAGUCGCAGCGAAGUUUUUCGAUGGUGGCGAGGAGAUUCCGACAAUAACUUGAGUCCCGUUUUGCUGCCCCAAAAGAGGUUUCGAUGGUGGCGAGGAGAUUCCAACGAUAACUCGAGUCCCGUUUUGCUGUCCCAAAAGAGGCGCAGGACAUAGUGUAUGGAGGGUACUUUAAUAAAUUGUUUCAUGUUGUCGUACCAAACAACAUGAAUUAUUGUCAUACAGUAGAUGGAAAUACCCUGGCCGAUGUUUACUGUAUCAAUUGUAGCGACUUGUGCUCUGUUUCAUUGUACGUUUAGUUUUGAGGUAAUCUUCAUUAAUAUUUUGUGCUAUAUUUCGCCCGAUCUAAAAUUCUAAGACUAUUCUUUUUCAAUUUGGGUGGAAGAGGUAAGGUGGUGACCGUUUGGGAGUGUGAAGGAAAGAGAAAAGGACUUGAUCUUUAUAUCCAUGUCUAGAAAAUUAUUUAAGAACUUAUUAAUUGAAAAAAAUGAUUCACUUUUAUUGCUCCUUUUUCUUUUGUUUUUUUAUCGAGGGUUCUCAUUAUAAUACAUGAGAUGGAAAAACAGUCCUGAUUCUUCAUGAAUAGAACUGUAUCUGCAAUUCCAAAUAAUAAUGAGAUCCGUCAAUGCUCUAUAGUGCUCAAUAAUUUGAGUAUCUUAAUAAAUCAUCUCAUUGAUGUUCAUUGAGGAUGUUGUUAUGUUUUAUAAAUGAUGCAACUUUCAUAAUGCUGUUAAGUAAUAGAAAGCACUUUCAAUGAUCUUUUUUUUAGCUUCAAUGAAAGGAUCGAGCAAGGAAUUGGAAAUAACCUUUCUACAAAAAGAACUAGAGCAAAUUCCAAAAGAUAUAACCAACAAAGCCUUACAUAAAAACUUUUGAGAGGGUGGAUGGAGAUUGAAGCAAAAUGUUUUACGUGUCUUAUGGUGAGAUCUUAGGGCUCAAAUUUUCGUUUGAUGCUAAUUUUCUUGGUAAUAACAUGGAGAAGAUGUUCAAUGCUUCAGUAUUUUGCAGCUAAGUGCCGUUGAAUUCCUUCAGGAACCUAUCAUCAGGCGAUAAACUGAAAAAUAUAUGGCAGCAUGUAGUUCAGAAGGUUUGUAGAAAAAAUAAAAUAUGAUCUUAUUGGUUGCAACAGGAAUCCAAUACUAGAAAGGAUGUGUCAGGAUAACUUGAGCUGGUAACAAUAUAUAUCCUCUCAAUGCUACAGCUACAACCAGCAAAAGAUGGAGCAGAUGGCAAAAAUUAAAAUGGAACAGAACCUCUCACUGCAGUAGCAAAAAGCAAUACUGAAUAGGCAUGGGCCAUGCUCACGACCCUGCUCCAUUAACCCCACAUUUGAAACAAAAAGUGCAGUUGGGAUAAACUAAGUAAUUUUGAAUUUAUCAAAUUCAUUAUCCAGAAGGUUUUCGAUAGAAGAUUCAGCAAGCAUAGAUCAUCGUCUCAUUUGCAACAACUAUAUUUCUAUGGUCAUUGAUCAAAGAUCUCUCAACCUUGUGAUGCAUCAAAUUUCUUCAUUUGUGUAAAUAAUAUAUGCAUAAUUAUAGUGUAAAAUUUGUCUUCGCUACUUAUAAUUCUAACUAUUACAAUUUAGCUUAUAGUGCAAUUUAGCUUAUAGUAAGUACAUACACAUCUUGCUUUAAUGUUGGGCUCGUGCUGACACGGG